Molecule: non-coding RNA, 102 nt
Filed under: Orenia metallireducens
Lineage: Bacteria; Bacillati; Bacillota; Clostridia; Halanaerobiales; Halobacteroidaceae
Also listed under: 1 other name
Description: Purine riboswitch aptamer
Rfam family: Purine riboswitch aptamer
About the family: Riboswitches are metabolite binding domains within certain messenger RNAs that serve as precision sensors for their corresponding targets. Allosteric rearrangement of mRNA structure is mediated by ligand binding, and this results in modulation of gene expression.
Source: Rfam by way of RNAcentral
CUAGAAUAGUCGAAUAUGCCUCAUAUAAAUGUAAGAAUAGGGCUUACAAGUAUCUACCAGGUAGCCGUAAACUACCUGACUAUGAGGGAAGUGUACCUAGGG